ACGGAGGAUCCAAGCGUUAUCCGGAUUUAUUGGGUUUAAAGGGUGCGUAGGCGGAUUAAUAAGUCAGUGGUGAAAGCCUGCAGCUUAACUGUAGAAUUGCCAUUGAUACUGUUAGUCUUGAGUAUAUUUGAAGUGGGCGGAAUGUGCAGUGUAGCGGUGAAAUGCUUAGAUAUUGCACAGAACACCGAUUGCGAAGGCAGCUCACUAAACUAUAACUGACGCUGAGGCACGAAAGUAUGGGGAUCAAACAGG
This 252-nucleotide ribosomal RNA is filed under the name uncultured bacterium. Its description in RNAcentral is "partial 16S ribosomal RNA". It matches the Rfam family "Bacterial small subunit ribosomal RNA", at positions 525 to 776 of the family's 1533-position model. The record is from RNAcentral.